CCAUUUAUAUAUAAUAGUGUUUUUUAUUCCAGCCAGCAGUCUAAUAUGUUUUAUCCGUGACAACGCAUGUGUAUUCAACUAGUGUUAAUAGAUUCCCCAUUUAGCAAAUGUAGGUUCACCACCAGACUCCUACAAUACAAAUGCAUCCAGUGCUAGCAAUUUCAAAAAAUACUAUUCUUGUCAUAGAGUAUCUCAUUGUUGGCAACCAACACGCGCCUCAGGAAGUUCGCCAAGUGUCGGUCCUCGCCUCCUUUUUUUUCCGGACCUUGCGGAAAACUGUCACCCGGUUUGCAGGAUGCAUCAGUUAUUCUUUUGUCCUUCUUUUUCUGUUGAGCCCUCAUUUUCAUAAGAGAAACGAACACCCAACAUUAGUGACUCGUAUUUGCUAAUGUACUCCAGAUUUUCUACAAGAAAAGCACCUAAUUUCAGUAAGCCAGUUGCCCAGUUUAGGUUAUAGUUGAAUAACCAGCACAACUCUACGCAAGGAUCUCAUGUUGGAACCAAGUUAAAUUCGAUAAGACGGCAGAUCGAGAAUCUAGGUGUUGAGGGCCUUACUCUCUCGCAGCCACUGCUGCGUCCUGCAAAUGGCAGUCUGAAUCCCCAUGGUUGAUGGAUCUGCUGCUCCUGCUUCUGCCAGGGCUCUGAAGGAAGCCGUAGGGGCCAUCGAAGGCGGUCGAGCGGGCGCGAGAGCAGAGGAGGAGACCCCGCUGGCAGAGCGCGGCAAGGAGCCAAUCCGAGGCGCCCUAGAUUUGUUUCUCCUCUGAACUCUGGAUCUCCCUGGACCUUUUUGCGUCGCUAGUUCAGAAACAGGUCCGGAUCGGCGCCCCGUUCCUAAUUUGGUGGUGGUUUCUUCCCCAGUGCACCUCUCCGGCCAUGGCGCCACACCGCCGCCGCAGAAGAACGGGGGGUCGUCAUGCGACAGGAAGAGGAAGGUCACAAAUAUGAAGGAAAAAUAACUUUCAACUAUUUAGGCCCAAUUUUCGACCAAAAUAAAAAAAAAGUAAUAACACCCGCGAACUUGAGACGUGCGGACAUUUUCGUUAAAAAACUUGAAAAAUGAGGUUAGGUGGGUCAAAACUUGUAUUGUGAAUUCACUUUUGAUUAGAUGCGCUUCCGGACCGUCAUGUGUCUGGCUAGAGUGGCAAAGUCGUGCGCGGAGGGCUUGGUUUUCAAAAAAAAACUUGUUUCUCAUCCCGACGCGGCGAGGGAGGAGGCCAACGGCAUGGUCAACAUUGGUGGGCCUGGGUCGAGCCGACUGGCUGCUCACGGUGGUGGUGGUCUCGGCCGCAUAACGGUACGUCGCCGGCAUAGAGUGGGCGACGGUGACCGGAGAAGUUUACUGGGCGCCACCGUGGUCGUCUAUGAAGGUUAGUGCUUUGAAUCCAGUCUUGUCUUUGUCAAGUUGGUUCAAGUGCACCGAUGAUGACCAGCGCCAUGAUUGGAAAGAAGGAGAAGAUUUCGGUAUAUGAAGAGGUAUGGGCUGGAAUGUAAACUAGGAAGAAAAUAGGGAAAUUUUUGCAAAAUUUCAUUCGUCUUAUAUUGCUUGGGGAUGAGAAAGAAACUGUAUUUGGAUUGAAGGGACUAAAAUAAAAAAAAAAUGCAAACUGUCUUCCUGAUCACAAAAAUCCUGGAGCCCUGGAUGGGUCUUUGGGAAUUGUAUGGGGUUCCGUUCCUGUUCCUCUCCAGGAGUUUGCACCGUAACUCUAAACUUGUUUCAUUGAUGCUUGUUUUCUUCGAGAAAACGCGGAAGUUUCGCGUCUCAAUGCAUGUAUAUUAUUAAAAAGUGUUAUGUACAAGUCCGAGAGGAUAGUGUCCUGAGAUUACAAAGAUACACGACUUCCAUCGGGAAGAACGCUCGAAGCCCAACCGUCCCUGCUCGGGUCCAAAGCCUAGCAUCAACCU
This 1902-nucleotide long non-coding RNA is filed under the name Brachypodium distachyon (stiff brome). RNAcentral describes it as "long non-coding RNA (BDIS_LNC002314)". The record is from RNAcentral. Lineage: Eukaryota; Viridiplantae; Streptophyta; Magnoliopsida; Poales; Poaceae.